This 253-nucleotide ribosomal RNA is filed under the name uncultured bacterium. Its description in RNAcentral is "partial 16S ribosomal RNA". It matches the Rfam family "Bacterial small subunit ribosomal RNA", at positions 524 to 776 of the family's 1533-position model. The record is from RNAcentral.
UACGUAGGGGGCAAGCGUUGUCCGGAAUCAUUGGGCGUAAAGAGCGUGUAGGCGGCUCGGUAAGUCCGCUCUGAAAGCCCGGGGCUCAACCCCGGGAGGCGGGCGGAUACUGUCGGGCUAGAGUCCGGAAGAGGCGAGUGGAAUUCCUGGUGUAACGGUGAAAUGCGCAGAUAUCAGGAGGAACACCAAUGGCGAAGGCAGCUCGCUGGGACGGUACUGACGCUGGGACGCGAAAGCGUGGGGAGCAAACAGG